UACGUAGGGUGCUAGCGUUGUUCGGAAUUACUGGGCGUAAAGGGCGCGUAGGCGGUUUGACCAGUCAGGUGUGAAAUUCCCGGGCUUAACCUGGGGGCUGCACUUGAUACUGUCAGGCUUGAAUUCGGGAGAGGAUAGCGGAAUUCCCAGUGUAGAGGUGAAAUUCGUAGAUAUUGGGAAGAACACCGGUGGCGAAGGCGGCUAUCUGGACCGACAUUGACGCUGAGGCGCGAAAGCGUGGGGAGCAAACAGG
This 253-nucleotide ribosomal RNA is filed under the name uncultured bacterium. RNAcentral describes it as "partial 16S ribosomal RNA". It matches the Rfam family "Bacterial small subunit ribosomal RNA", at positions 524 to 776 of the family's 1533-position model. The record is from RNAcentral.